AUGAAAAACACAAGAUUUCCUUUGAAUCAUUUAAAGCCACAGUGUCACCCGGUGUGCGCUGUUUCUCAACUGAUCGGGGAUGGCCGAGCCGCGCUUACCUCACCUCCCGCAAAGUCCCCCUCUCUCCUGCCCUACGUUGUCGCUCGUUUUGCAAUUUUAGGUGGGAGAGGCGGGUUUAUGCCUCGCUGGAGCAAGGCGAGGGAAGCGGCCGGGGCUGCCCCCGGGGAUCCCGGGCUGCAGAGCGGCGUGUGCGGCACGUCAGGAUGCGCCGCGGUGCCGGCUGGCAACAAGUCCCCGGGAGCCCGGGGCUGCGGGCGGCUCCCGCGGCGCUGCGCGCCCCGUGCGUCCCCUCUGGCAGCGGGCUGUCACCCCGUCGGGGCGGGCUGCAGUUUCCCCCACACCCCCACGUUCCCCGGGAGGAAGGAGGGCGGGGAAGGGUUAAUGCUUGCUUUGACCUCCCGAGCGACUUCAGAUGCUGAGAUCGUCCCCCCGCGGCCCGGCACACGCUCCGUCCCCUCUUCCUCCUGCGGCUGCGGGCUCAGCAAGGGCACCACGAAGGGCAGGCGCCUGGAUUCACCUCCUCAUCGGCCCCUUCCCUGCCCGCUGCCCGCUGCCCGCUGCCCGAGGGGCUCAGCCUCGCCUGGGGGCAGAGGUCCCGCUGGGCCCCGAGGGACCGCGACACCCGAGGGAGUCCCACCUCCGCCGGCUCCCGCUCGGGGACCCAGCAGCGGCGCGGCCCAGGUGCCUCUUCCCUCGUUGAGCCAAGCAGAGGCACGCGGGAAGCAAAAAGUGCUGCCUCGUACGGUGUGUUUCCUCCGGGCGCCCUUCAGGUCCCCCCAAGGCAGGUGCUUUCUAGCUGCAGGACUCGGGAAGGGACGCGCUGGCCAGUCUUCGCCCCAGCCUGGAAACAACGUCGCAGCCCGAUCGCUCUGUCCUCGAGGGAAUUACACACACACCUGCAACACGCCGCAGGGUCAGGACCACAGUGCCAGGCUACGCAAAGAUGACACAUUACUGCUCGACUUUUGGAGGCUGCUCCGAGAGUCUAAAGCUUCUGUAAAGAACAGGUUAACUAAUGCCACGGACUUUUCCAAAAAUUAA
This 1101-nucleotide long non-coding RNA is filed under the name Apteryx haastii (Great spotted kiwi). RNAcentral's name for it is "lncRNA (ENSAHAG00000004324.1)". The record is from RNAcentral. Lineage: Eukaryota; Metazoa; Chordata; Aves; Apterygiformes; Apterygidae.